This 141-nucleotide ribosomal RNA is filed under the name uncultured eukaryote. RNAcentral's name for it is "partial 18S ribosomal RNA". It matches the Rfam family "Eukaryotic small subunit ribosomal RNA", at positions 1299 to 1458 of the family's 1831-position model. The record is from RNAcentral.
UGGUGGAGUGAUUUGUCUGGUUAAUUCCGUUAACGAACGAGACCUCAGCCUACUAAAUAGUUGGGCGAAUCCUCUGGAUUCGUGAUCAACUUCUUAGAGGGACUAUUCGUUUUUAGCGAAUGGAAGCGUGAGGCAAUAACA